Long non-coding RNA from Microplitis mediator, 1987 nucleotides. RefSeq lists it as uncharacterized. The record is from RefSeq and is a predicted model, not a curated record. NCBI's taxonomy places the organism in Eukaryota, Metazoa, Arthropoda, Insecta, Hymenoptera, Braconidae. The transcript is spliced from 3 exons.
CCACCACCAAGACCACCAGCAAGACCACCAGCAAGACCACCAGCAAGACCACACCACCAGCGAGACCAUCAGCAAGACCACCAGCAAGACCAUCAGCAAGACCACCACCAAGACCCUCAGCAAGACCAUCAGCAAGAUCACCAGCAAAAUUCUAAGAAAGAUCACCAGCAAGAUCGUUAGCGAGAUAGUCAGAUAGCUAAUCGCCGAGAAAGAUCACUUGGAUGAUGUUUAACAAGACAAUCCGCGAGAUCUUUACAAAUAUGUUUUGUAUGACGUACAAUGAGCGCUUAGCAAAGUCUUGAGCGAGACAGAGCAAGCGGAAUAAAAGAUUCUAAAAUAAUGUGUAUCUAUAUAUUUGUCUAUUUGAAAUUGCUUCUAUUCUGGUAAAACAUAAUUCAAUUAGUUUUCAAAUUUCUUUUUUUAAUCUGGGUUGCUCAUCAUAUAAUUAAAAAUCUGUAAUUUUUGUUUUGUCGAAUUUCCAAAAGCUUUAUUUUUAAUAAAAGCAUUAUUUUCCAUUAAUAAUUCUUUCUAUAAAAAGAGAAAAGAUAAAACAAAAUAUACGAAUAUAUUCUAUGUUGUAAUUGUGUGUUUUGUUUCUCUUUUGUGACAAAUCGAACUUUUUAAAUUAAAUAAAUAGUGUAUAACUUGAAGUUUACUGUUGCGGCGUUGCCAAACUUUUUUAUUAUUCUUUUUAAUUUUUUUUAAAUCUCAAAGCAUGUCUUUGAUUGGUCAAUUUAGAUUUUAAAUAACUCAAAAACUAUUGAGAAUUUUGAAAAAUGGCUAAGGAACUUUAUGCUCAGAAUCGUCUCCUCUAUUCAAAUUUUCCCGCUGUGAAGGUAAUUCUGAAUCACCCUGUAUAUAUAUAUAUAUAUAUAUUAAAUAAUAUGACAAUUUUUUAAUAUCAAUGUUAUUAAAUUUUUAUUCUGUCAACUAUCAAUCAAACUUAAAUCCCCAAUACUUAAAAAAUAUUCAAAGGUUUCGGCGGCAAUUUAAAAGUAUAAAUCGAUAUCGAUUGAUAUACGAAUAUUUAUAAGUUUAUAGAUAAAUUCAUCAUUAGGUGCAUUAUCUACGUAGGAUGUAUCAAUUUGAUUAUUUGAGUUAAGUAAUGCCAAAAACGUUUCUUAAUUGUAAGUGUAUAACAGACUAGAGGAUCAGACUACAAACCAUCGAUAACCAAAGUUAAACAGCAUCGACGUGGGACAUUAAUUGGACGGGUGACCUCGUAGUAAAAUAAUAGUCAAUGAUAUUCUAAAUGAGAUUCUAAAAAAGACUAUAUUCGUUCAUGCAUGAUUAUAUAUAAUCAUAUAUGAUCAUGUAUAAACAGAUCAAGUUAUGUAUGAUCAGACCUGGCCAAUUUUUGGAUCUGAUCAUAUAUAGACAAUUAUGCAUGACCAUAUAUAAUUAGACAAAAUCUUUUUUCAUCGGGUUUAUGCAGCCACAGCUGUGAUUGCAAUGUUUAUCAAUAUGCUUCCGGAAACAUUAAUGCAGUUAUUGCACUGCAACCGAUAAAAAAAAGUGACCAGAUUUGUAUCGGCUACGCGUCGUAUUAUCGAGAUGCACCAACUCAGAGACGACAGCUUUUGAUGGAAAAAAAUCAUUUUGGUGUGAAUGCAUUCCUUGUAGUAAUAAUUGGAACCUACAGUAUCGUCCACCGUCGCGUGUGGCGCAGCCAGUGGCGAUAAAAAAUAUGAAUAAAUUACUUCAAAUUAUGAAGAAAUAUAACGAAUAUCCACCGAUAGUUAAAUCAUAUCAAAAAUCAACCCGUGAUAAAUCUCCACGUGAUAUUUUAAAAACAAUUUCGGGAUUAUUGGAAUUGCUCAAUACUUAUGGCAAUUAUGUUAAUUACUGUACCGAAAUAGAACAUGCAAAAAAUUUAUUACUUAAUAUUUACAUGUGGAUUGCUGGAUACUAAUAAUUUUUUUUAACAUUUCCUUUAGCUUUAAAAAAAAAAAUUUUAUAAUUUUAAACUAUGGUAUAGUAGAAAUUA